CGGGACUCUGUGCCGCCUUCACGACAAUUUAGUGUAACGCAAGAUUCAAGCUUCAUGAUCUUGGAGGAUCUUUUUUGGCGUCACGGUUAAUUAAAAGUCCUUAAAUAUGYACAAGUUCUGACAUAUGGUGGUAGUUCAUUAAAUAUGUUUAACGCAGAGUCUUGAAACGUCCCUGAUUCUAGUGGAAUGCAAACUUGUGGGGCUUUGCUUGAAAGUAAUUGCAUUUUCGGUGCGUGUAGCUCUAAUGGGAGGUAUACUGGCCAACGCUGGUUGUAUAUUGCAUUGUGGACGGUUGUUAUCAGAUUAAAUUGAGUUCGCUCUCUUGCUGGUAGCCAGCCAAGCUUCACAACAUCUUCUUCUCUGGCAUAGCGGUUGAUAACGAAACUUGCCGCUGAAGUCGACUGUACUCUUUGGACUUUUUUCUGUAGCACUCGACGAAAAAAUGGAUUUGUCAUGUAGGCAAACAUAUAGACAAAUAUAUGGGCAAAUAUCAUAUUUGACUAAUAGUAGACAAUAUUUACCCAAUGACUGUA
Actinia tenebrosa (Australian red waratah sea anemone) is the source of this 533-nucleotide long non-coding RNA. The record is from RefSeq and is a predicted model, not a curated record. NCBI's taxonomy places the organism in Eukaryota, Metazoa, Cnidaria, Anthozoa, Actiniaria, Actiniidae.